AACUCCAUUCCCCAACCUACUCUUCUCAUCGCCACUUGAAUUCAUCUUUCAUGUAAACCUUAUAAUCUCUGCAAAUUAAAAAAAGAAAAAAAGUAUCCCUAUUUAAUAUUUCGGGUUCGUAUCAAAAACCCAAAACUUGAACUAAUGAUCUACCAAAAAUUCACACCCGGAGAUCAUUGAUUCGAUUCACUACAUUUUUCGGGUUAGAUCAGUCCAAAAUUCGAGAAAAAUUCAACAGUUGUACUGAAUAUAAAGGAAAGAAAUUGGGUUUCGAAAGGAUAACUUCCCCAGCAAGACUAUUUCUGGGCAAUUACAGCAACUGGAAGAGGUAAAAAGAGAAACUUUUAAACGACUCGGAGGUGGAUUUUUUUCUAGCUCUGCUCUGUGGUUAAAGUCGUACGAUAUUAUGCAAAAUGGAAACAAAAAAUUUGGAAAUCAAGGGCAGUGUAAUUGAUAUUUAAAAAUGCGGAAGUGAAGAGGGCAAGAGCAGAGCAGAGCAGAGAAACGGAGAUCAAACCAUUAUUUGCCAAAGCAAAAGAGAUUGAGGUAAAGAAAGCUCUCCAUGUUCGCUCAUUCACGAGAAGAAAAAUUUAUGGAAGAAGUCAUCAAUCAAAACAUACCCGUUGAGUUUGAUCAUGCAAUGCCUGUGACUGUGAGCUCUCAGGCCAGCUGCUUUGUGAAAAUUAUACAAGCUUUCUUAAGGUAAGUGUUUUAGCCUUCCAGUUCUAGGCCCUAGUAUAAGAAAAUUAUAUUUUUUCCGGUCCU
RNAcentral lists this long non-coding RNA (765 nucleotides) under Capsella grandiflora. RNAcentral describes it as "long non-coding RNA (CGRA_LNC001692)". The record is from RNAcentral. Lineage: Eukaryota; Viridiplantae; Streptophyta; Magnoliopsida; Brassicales; Brassicaceae.